This is a long non-coding RNA of Thunnus maccoyii (southern bluefin tuna), 331 nucleotides long. RefSeq lists it as uncharacterized. NCBI's taxonomy places the organism in Eukaryota, Metazoa, Chordata, Actinopteri, Scombriformes, Scombridae. The transcript has 3 exons. The record is from RefSeq and is a predicted model, not a curated record.
GUCUAGAGCCUUGAUUCUUCCUGGAUUUCCUCCACGAUGGUGAAUCUUCUCCCUUUCAGUUCCAAUUUUAGUUUCCCCAACCUCAUUUACAAGGAAAGCAGAGUGUCAGAGAGCUGAACUGUGCUGGGCAGGGCCUGCAUGAGGAUAAAGUGGAUUGGAUGAAAAAUGUCGAGUACAUGGCUGUGGCUCUUAGCUCGGAUGAUGAACUGAGGCACUCGCUAUCCAUGGAGAGUUGCAAUGGAGAGAGCAAGGAUUUAAUGGAGGCAGUAAAAGAGGGCAGGAGAGCUCAGAGUCCUGCUAAUGAAUCAGAAGAAAAGAGGAGAAAGAGAGA